Ornithorhynchus anatinus (platypus) is the source of this 138-nucleotide small nucleolar RNA. Lineage: Eukaryota; Metazoa; Chordata; Mammalia; Monotremata; Ornithorhynchidae. The record is from RefSeq and is a predicted model, not a curated record.
CCCCUCUCAGGAUCACACCUGGAGAGUUUCCCGGACUCUACCAGUCUCGACUACCGUGGGGAGAGUCAACCAGAGGCCUACCCAUUCCAUUCCUAGCUUGGGCAGUGGCUAGCGAGUGGAAGGCAAUCUGUCACAAGU